UGUCAAGGGAUGGGAAUUAAACCCACGACCUUCCGCUUACCGGGCAGAUGCCAUGACCACUAGGCUACCCUGGAC
This 75-nucleotide transfer RNA is filed under the name Cordylochernes scorpioides. RNAcentral describes it as "tRNA-Thr". The record is from RNAcentral. Lineage: Eukaryota; Metazoa; Arthropoda; Arachnida; Pseudoscorpiones; Chernetidae.